Molecule: long non-coding RNA, 1047 nt
Filed under: Triticum aestivum (bread wheat)
Lineage: Eukaryota; Viridiplantae; Streptophyta; Magnoliopsida; Poales; Poaceae
Description: long non-coding RNA (TAES_LNC001769)
Source: RNAcentral
UUCGCAUUUCAUUGUGAUCAAGUGUUGACCAAACCAUUUUCAUGUACCGACAUAAAAUCAAUCAUUACAACCGGCAUUGACGCAUCAACGGUUUCAAGUUUGUUGGAUACAAAAAGUUCUCAAUUAUCAAGUUCCGAUGCCCGAGGCAAAGACACUUUUAAAUAAGAUGAGCUACAGGGCGACAAAGCAAGGCGACAAUCACUAGUCCUACUCAGUCUUCUCUCCACUCGGCUUCGACAUCAGGUGCCACAGCUCAAUGUUGGUUGAACUACGAAAAAGUAAGUUAGCAUCAUGUAUCCAACUGAGAAUUUUAUGACUAGAGUUUGAAUCUCUAAUAAUGAACAUCAGGACUUGUUGAUAAGAAGGAUAAGAACCACAGAACUAACUACUAUGUAUGGGUACUGUGGCAUAAAUUUCCGUAAUAAUUACUAAAUAACUAAGGACAAAGAUGAUAAGCGGUAGAUCAUUAAACCAUUGUCAAUCUCCACAAUACAAUAUAAUUCCGAAAUUAGUAAAACUGGGGAGAAAAUGUAUAAUUGGAAAAUUAAGGAGAAGACAAACAUGGAUUUAUUAGUGCAGAAAGUAAAGACCUCUAUCUAAAAAAGAGGCAAGGUAGCCACAUACCUUUCUUGCUCUGAGUGAAACCUUCCCAAUAACCUAAUUACCGAAAGGCAUCCAACAACUAAACACAAUGUCUUCGGAUAAAGCAAAACACUUCUAAUGUCAGAGCACCUGCAUACAAUAAAAGCCUAGGAGAACUGAAAAAGAAACAACAUCAAUGCAUAUGAACCGUUGGUCUGAUAUAUAUUUCAGUUCUCUGAGCACUAGGGAAGAACUACUAUUGACCAAUGUAUAUGCAACUUGUGUAAAGCAACAUCAAUAGAAAAAUAUAAUGAUUCUUUUUUAUUUCUUCUAAACUAGAUAGAGUAGACUUACAAACGAUGCAUCUAGAAUCCUACUCUCCUUGUGAAAAGCUGAAGCAGAACUGUACUAUACUAUUCCUUGUUCUCCAUACAAGAUGACAAGUUCUAGAUCCUCCUUUAUAUU